This 301-nucleotide ribosomal RNA is filed under the name uncultured bacterium. Its description in RNAcentral is "partial 16S ribosomal RNA". It matches the Rfam family "Bacterial small subunit ribosomal RNA", at positions 509 to 808 of the family's 1533-position model. The record is from RNAcentral.
CAGUAGCCGCGGUAAUACGUAGGGUGCGAGCGUUAAUCGGAAUUACUGAGCGUAAAGCGUGCGCAGGCGGUUCGUUAAGACAGAUGUGAAAUCCCCGGGCUUAACCUGGGAACUGCAUUUGUGACUGGCGAGCUAGAGUAUGGCAGAGGGGGGUAGAAUUCCACGUGUAGCAGUGAAAUGCGUAGAGAUGUGGAGGAAUACCGAUGGCGAAGGCAGCCCCCUGGGCCAAUACUGACGCUCAUGCACGAAAGCGUGGGGAGCAAACAGGAUUAGAUACCCCCGUAGUCCCUGUCCUUAUACC